Long non-coding RNA from Sapajus apella (tufted capuchin), 2466 nucleotides. RefSeq lists it as uncharacterized. NCBI's taxonomy places the organism in Eukaryota, Metazoa, Chordata, Mammalia, Primates, Cebidae. The record is from RefSeq and is a predicted model, not a curated record. The transcript has 3 exons.
UGUACAGUGUAUGCAAUUCUUUUUGUGGGGGUGAAGUUCAGUGGGAGUGUCUUCCCAACUACCAUGCAAUACACUGGGAGGUUUUCAAAUGGCAGCCUCCAUUAUGGGCUGUGAUGCAGAGGCACUGUCCUCAACAUGUUUUCCUCCUUGCAUUCAACAUUGUGUGUUUGCCCAUUAAAUCCACUUUAAAGGUGAAUUCUGUGAAUAAAGAUCUUAUCUUUCCAUAAGCAUCCUCAUGGUUUUCGGGCUGUUGACCAUUGGCUCAGCCACUGUACCGCUUCUGGUUUUCUACCCUUGCCAAGAGAAUAACAGCUCUAUGUGAAGGGCACUGCAGAAUCUCAUCCUCAUAAUAUUUUCUUUUGUUUAAUUGCAGAAACUAUCCCAGGAGAGGGUGAGAAGUAAGUACCGUGAAGUAACUCACUUCAUGAGGGACCAACUUGCUGCUUGAGUGUAUAGAACCCUGAUUCUGGGAUCCCGCUAGGAAGGAGGAUUGGGGUCUCCUGAGAGAAAGUGAUGUGGCCAAUAUAGAACUCCAGCCAGAGAGGCUGUAGGAAGGUUUGUCUAUGCAGAGCAAAGACCAGGGAAUGAUGUGUGAGGCAGCAUGGCUUCAGCUGGAGGAAGAGGCAUGGGUGAGUCACUCUUUCUAAUGACUUGUCCUGAUGUUUUUGUUUCUAAAGGCUGGAUUCUGGGGAGCGUCUUCAGGCUCACUGAAGACAACCCCCAAGGUAGGGAACUACUUUCCAGGUAGGACCUGAUGGGAAAAGGUUCCUGAGAGCCUUCACGUUAUCCCCGCUGCUUGAGGGGCUGAAGAAGGGAGUAUGAAAUCAGAAAGAAAAUGAAAAUGUGUGUGAGGUUUGGUUUGUUCUUUUCAAAGUUUGUUGUCAUAAAGGUAGGAGCUGUCUCUCUGGGCUGUGAGGGUGCUGUGUUCGUUAGAGACGAUCUUUGCAGUACACCCUCUCUUUUCUGCCCAGGGAAAUAUCAAAACCUUUAGUUUGGAUUAAUCAGCACUCCUUGGGAUCAUGCACAAGGGAUGUAGGACUGGGCAUUGAGUGUCAUCUGUACUGGAAGGAAGGAAUCUGUGGGAACAUCUCUCUCACAGGCAUUGACUUGAACUUAGAGAAAAAGUGCAUGUGCCAAGGGGAAAUUGAUAAUCACCCUCUAAACCUUUAAGAUUUGUUAUAGCACAUUUAGGUUUCUGUCCUCUCUGUGGGUUUAAAGGGGUCUCCCAGGGGUGGAUGGCAGAGUGAAUGUUCGCUCUGGGCUCACUGGUACAUCUCCAGUCUCCCGGGAAGACGGGAGAAGUCUGACCUUGAUCAUAUUUGUAGCCUCCACUUCCCACCCCUAUGACAGAUUCUGAGAUGAGGCUUCUUUCUCUCCAGUUCUCUAAGUUUUGGGGAAACCAAGAGUUCCUUCCCACAGAAGAUGGCAUUACACUAUUUCCUGUCUUCAAAAAUUAGACUUCUGUUGUUCUCUAAGUUGAUAUUUAUAGGUUAAGUUCUGGACCUUUUAUUCAAAGAUUGCUAAAAGUUGUGCAGGAAACUCCUAUGAUAAAAUGUGCUGAUAGCACAUAAUUCUGUCCAUGGUACGGAUGACAUUUUUAUCUUUGGAGGAUCCUCAUUUUACAUAAUAAGAUACAAAACUAAGUGGGCACCCUCUAUCCAGUCUGGGGCACUUCAUUAAAGACCUGAGUUUGCUGCUGACUGUCAUUUGCUUUUCUUUAUGACACUUUUGAACCACCUAAAUAUUGCCAGCACCCUCUUUUGGGACCCUGACAUCUGAGAGGGCCAGUAGGUUUGUGUACGGCCGUCUGACCCCAGCCAUGUAGUGCCGGUGUUCAUCUGAAGUGUGACUCUGGUAAGUAUUCUGGAAUUAUUGUCAAGAAAAAGCUGGUGUCAAUGUGAAGUGCCACCCUGAUUCUGGGAUUGUGAUAGGAGUAAGCAUAGUGAAAGUGUUCUUUAAAAACCUGAAUUCCCCAGGGAAAAAUCAUGGCCAGAUUUUGAGGCAGCAGCUGUGCUCCCUUUUGGGUGGCACUGAGUUGGGUGCUUGAGGAUUGGCGGUGUCUUGUGUGAGGCUGCAUCAUGUGAUGUGAAUGUGGAGCUUCUGUGCAGGCGAGGCUGUGUGUGUUCUCAGGAGAGAGUUCCCAUUUACACAGUCCAUUCGCCAGUGUCCACUUCUAAAAAUUAAAAUCCAGCCCCACUCUACUCUGUCUGUACAGUGACUCCUCCAACCUCACCAGAGCCAUCCCUGGGUCUGGUUUAUUAUCCUCACUGCUCAGGUGGAGACCCUGAAGGGCCAAGGGGUGGCCCAGCUCCCAAGUUCCUGAAUGAAAAAGAGAAAACACGAACCCAGGAGUGUGGGCCUGUGCUGACACUGGCAACUACUGGCAUGCUCUUAGUCAGGGUGCGUUCGCCACCACGCAGGGAGUCCAGCAUUCGUGUAUAAGCCCUAAGGAGGUCCCAGACACUG